RNAcentral lists this ribosomal RNA (785 nucleotides) under uncultured Gemmatimonas sp. RNAcentral's name for it is "bacterial SSU rRNA". It matches the Rfam family "Bacterial small subunit ribosomal RNA", at positions 8 to 796 of the family's 1533-position model. Lineage: Bacteria; Pseudomonadati; Gemmatimonadota; Gemmatimonadia; Gemmatimonadales; Gemmatimonadaceae. The record is from RNAcentral.
AGAGUUUGAUCCUGGCUCAGGACGAACGCUGGCGGCGUGCUUAACACAUGCAAGUCGAAGGCACUUGGGGGCAACUCCAGGUGACUGGCGAACGGGUGCGUAACACGUGAGCGAUCUACCCUGGUGUGGGGGAUAGCCGGCCCAACGGCCGGGUAAUACCGCAUGCGCUUUGGUCCUUGCAUGAGGACUUCAGCAAAGCCUUCGGGCGCACUGGGAGGGGCUCGCGGCCUAUCAGCUCGUUGGCGGGGUAAUGGCCCACCAAGGCGACGACGGGUAGCUGGUCUGAGAGGAUGGCCAGCCACAUUGGGACUGAGAGACGGCCCAGACUCCUACGGGAGGCAGCAGUGGGGAAUCUUGCGCAAUGGGCGAAAGCCUGACGCAGCGACGCCGCGUGCGGGAGGACGGCCUUCGGGUCGUAAACCGCUGUUGCCCGGGACGAAUGCCCCUUUGGAGGGGAUUGACGGUACCGGGUGAGGAAGCACCGGCUAACUCCGUGCCAGCAGCCGCGGUAAUACGGAGGGUGCGAGCGUUGUCCGGAAUCACUGGGCGUAAAGGGCGCGUAGGCGGCGCGGGAAGGCGGCGGUGAAAGUCCGGGGCUCAACCCCGGAUCGGCCGUGGCGACUCCCGCGCUGGAGCACAGUAGAGGCGGGUGGAAUUCCGGGUGUAGCGGUGGAAUGCGCAGAUAUCAGGAGGAACACCGAUAGCGAAGGCAGCUCGCUGGGACGGUACUGACGCUAAGGCGCGAAAGCGUGGGGAGCGAACAGGAUUAGAUACCCCGGUAGUCC